AGCUUUGCACAGUGGUAAUAUCAUAGCCCAUGAGGUUUAUCUGAGGCGCGAUUAUUGCUAAUUAAAAGCUUCCCCACAAUAAU
Molecule: small nuclear RNA, 83 nt
Filed under: Homo sapiens (human)
Lineage: Eukaryota; Metazoa; Chordata; Mammalia; Primates; Hominidae
Description: U4 spliceosomal RNA
Rfam family: U4 spliceosomal RNA
About the family: U4 small nuclear RNA (U4 snRNA) is a component of the major U2-dependent spliceosome. The structure of U4 snRNA from yeast and human has been reported.
Source: Rfam by way of RNAcentral